Molecule: unclassified non-coding RNA, 327 nt
Filed under: uncultured fungus
Lineage: Eukaryota; Fungi
Description: sequence contains ITS1
Rfam family: 5.8S ribosomal RNA (bases 1-105)
Source: RNAcentral
GAAAUGCGAAAAGCAAUGCGAAUUGCAGAAUUCCGCGAGUCAUCAGAUCUUCGAACGCAUCUGGCGCCGAUCGGAUCUCCGUUCGGCAUGUUUGUUUCAGUGUCUUGUUGAGACUCACAUAUCUCAAUGUGAUUGAUACACCGGUUGGGGUCUCACGAUCCACAACAUGGUAUAUCUCUCAUGAAGUUAGGACUGCGGCAACCGACCGAUGCAGUAGUCAGUCUUGUACUGAUACUCAUUGGGAUGGGAGCCUACACAACAGUCACAACAUAUUCAUUUGACAUCCACAACGCAUCUGAGACAAGCAAGAUCACCCGCUGAACUUAA